UCUCUCCUAUUCCCCUGUAAACCCUAACAGAAAACUUCACCGCCGGUUUCAUCUGCUGCUUCAUUCUUCUUCUUCACGAUUACAAGAUCCCCUUUCUAAUGUUCAUCCUUCUCAUCUCAAUUAUUGGUAUCAUCACCUACCGACAUCUUCACUUUUCUUUCUCAUUCUCCCUCUCAAAAUUCUUCUGCAUAUGCUUGAUUUUAACAAUUAAUCAAACAAGAUCAAAGAAUAAUCAUCCCUGACUCGGUUUUUGGCGUUGGACGUUGGCGAUGGUGGAAAUCCUUUGUUUCAGUAUUUCGUGAUGAUGGGGAGGACAGAUUCGCCGCUGCCACCAUUUUGUUGUUCCGUGUUCGUCUUCGAAUCCUUUAGGGUUUCUGGACGACAGUUAAUGAUGGCGGCUCUGGUUUCAAUUGCUUUCAUGUUGCAAGCUUUCAUGGCCUUUGGGAUCACAUCUGUUGUAGAUUUCAACAGGUAUACAUAAAACCCUAAUUAUAUUGAUCCAGCCGCUCUAUGUUAUUCGAUGAAUAGCCUCCAUUUCAUCUCUGCUUUGGAUUCCCAAUUGUGUUUCAUCGAUCCAUCGGUGUUAUGGGUUUUUGAUUAUUUUACUGUUGUAAUUGUUGUGGCGGAACGAAGGGGAAUACCAGCGACAUCUUUCGUCAAAGAUGUUCAAGCUUAUUUUAAUCAAUUAGGGCUCGAUGUUAACUCUACACUCGCGUUUCUUCAAGAAAGUUUGAAGAAGUAUUCUGGAACAAUAGCACCUCCGAUACUAUUGUUAGCUUUACCAGCGGAAACCGGUGUUCUCGGUAUUCAGUCGCAGUGUUCAGGUUGAGUUCUCAGUUUCAGUCGCCAUACCGUUUGCAUUCGAUGUCGUUGUUCAGUUUUAUGUUCUUCAGGUGGUGGCGUUAGGUUUUGGCGGUGGUGUUAGGUUUUGUUGGUUCUAAUGGGACAGACAGAGAGGCUGCAAGAGUGUGGUGGAUAACAGAGAUGAUUUUCUGCCAGCCCUUCGAGAAAUAGUUUGUCUCCCGUCCGUCUACCCAAUCUGAAUAACUGCUCCGAGCCUCCUAUGACCUCUGUCAAGGUAAUGUUUAAUUUCUUGAUUUUUUGAUGAAACAGCGAGAUCUCAACGCCGACAACUGUCGAUUCUUCAUAUCGGCAAAUAUGAACGAGAAGGCUGACGUCUCCAAGGAGCUCAAUGCGAGGCACAGGAAGGACUAAUGAGUGAGGCACAGAAAGGUGUAAUUUUUCAUCUCUCACAUGUAACGGACAACCUCCAUUAAGUUUUGACAGGAAUGGCAUAGAUGUUUGCACUCAAGGUGUUCGAUGAUUUGUCUUUGUCUGUGAUGGCUAUGAAAGGAGGGUCAAAAAUGUUUUGUCUUCUUUAGCAGGCCAUCAACGGAUUUAUAUAUAGAACGUUGAGUUCAUGCUGUCAUUGAUAAAUUUGCAGACCGGAUGUAAAGGUGACUUGGUAUAGGAAGUUCCACAAGGGCCUAAAGAGAGUCCUAGGGGCCUAAAGAGAGUCCUGAAGGACCGUGACAGUUCGUUGGGCUAAUGCCACACUUUGUUCCUCCACGUCAUGAUAGGUUUAACAUGAUUCAAAGGGCUUUGAAUCUUGGAGUUAAUGUUAAAAUGAUUACAGUUUUGAACGGGUAUUUUUUAGCACCUAUCUCAUUCCCGGCUCUAAUCCAAUCUAUAAUACCUUUACGGCAUACGCACUUGUCUUUUCACAUUCAAAAAACCCUUAAUCGUAAUUUGAAGGAAGAAAGCAACAGAACCGGAUGGCGGUGGAAGGUGGUUCGGCAGGGCUAGGGAGACGACGUAUUGGAGGUCGUUGGGACCAAAUUAAGCACGUGUCACAUCCUGGUAGCUUUCUUCACACCAAAACCACAGAGAACACCCAACAACCGUUCCACUGCCUCGAAAAACCUCUCCCCAGAGGCUAAGUGUUGCUGUUGCCGACCACGAUCAUCGCAGGUGUGCUCCGGCAAUUAGGGUUUCAGCUGUGAUGGCUGGGAUUCUGGUGACCCUAGAUGGUGCAGUGGCAGUGGCGGUGGCGUAGACAUGGUGGCAUGGCUGCUGGCGUGGCUGUGGCUUCUCUGGUUUCAGUUUUGACUUUCGUAGGUUGCAGGGUGCUUGGAACACUUAUAAGAGAUCUACACAAUCAAAAAAUCUUGGUAACAACUUGAAGCUUGCAAAGGUGGAUGCAUCUAAACACACGUAGCAACACAAAAAGAAAAAAGUGACAUGGCAGUGGGGAAGCAUAAGCUGUCCAACUCGCUGUAGAUAAUGUAGGACCCGAAUGACCGGUGUUGCCAGCUAGGAUGAUUGAACCAAUUGCAGGGAAACUGUAGUUAUUGGAUCAUCAGGCUACUUCGAAGCUCAAGGGAUUUUCUCUAUUUUCUACAUAGUGUAUACGAAACAGAAAUAUAUCAGGUUUGGUAGAUGGAUACUGAAGGUAGCAGUUGUUAAUGCUCCAGCCUUUGGUGACAUUGCUAUAUUGACCGGAGCUUAUGUAGCCUAAACCGUUAAAGGAAUACAGAAAAUAAAGAAUCACAAUUUCAGAACAAAGUCGAUGUGGUGGCGGAGACACCAAAACAAAGCCGAUGGAAAAAGGGAAAGCUUAUAGGUCGUCGAACUUUUGGAAGCAUUUAUGUUGGAUCUGGAUCUAACAAAGAAACCACAGCUUUAUGUGCACUGAAAGAAUUUGAAUGGUGCCGAGCCCCGGCGUCGGACAUUAAAAGAUCAGAGCUGCAGCAAAUGGUGGCGGUUUUGGAUUCUGUAGUUAUAAGCGAAACGGUGGAUCGAUGGACUUAGGGUCUGGAUGGGCCAGGAUGCUUUACGGUUAAGAGUCUCAAAAAUGUCUUGAAAGAGGCACGUCGGCUAGCAGUAGUAUGCAAGUUUUGGUGGAAUAGUUGGGCCUCUAAGAAGGUGGGUUUGGUGGCUUGGAGGGCAGUAAUGGAAAAGCUUCCGACUUUCGUUUCGCUGCAGUGACGAAACAUCAAUGUCCCCCCUUUUAUGGUGUGUGUUCUAUGGUGAUCUCAAUGAAAUGAGUACAUCUUACUGUCAUGCGCCUUUGCACAAACGAUCUGCCAAGUUAUUGCCCAGUGGGGUAAGCUUCAUAUCUCUUUUACUGCAGACCUAUCCCAUUUACUUGACCUUCAUAAAUAUGUGCUGGGAUCCGCCAAGAAGAAUAAAGUUUAUAUGGGAUCUUUUUAGUUACCAUGUGGAUUUUGUGGAAGAUGCGGAACAAGGUCUUUAACCAAGGGUCGAUUUGCAUCACGAGUAUCGUGCAUGAGUUUAAGAUCAUGAGCUUUUUGUGGAUUUGACAUUGGACUUAAUUUAGUUCCCUGGGAUUAGUGGAGUAGCUUCAGGGUUGAUAGUUGUGUAUCGUUAAUUCUGCUGUUGGUUUUUUUGGUGGGGUGGGCUUUGUUGGUAUUUUUUUUUUUUAUAUUGGUGUACUUUGGCUAGCUGCUUGCUGAUUUUUGUUUAAUAAUAUUCUUUGUUUGUUGGGCUUUUCAAAA
Molecule: long non-coding RNA, 3518 nt
Organism: Helianthus annuus (common sunflower)
Lineage: Eukaryota; Viridiplantae; Streptophyta; Magnoliopsida; Asterales; Asteraceae
Exons: 20
Source: RefSeq, a predicted model, not a curated record